This 258-nucleotide ribosomal RNA is filed under the name uncultured bacterium. RNAcentral describes it as "partial 16S ribosomal RNA". It matches the Rfam family "Bacterial small subunit ribosomal RNA", at positions 524 to 776 of the family's 1533-position model. The record is from RNAcentral.
CACGUAGGGUGCGAGCGUUGUCCGGAAUUAUUGGGCGUAAAGAGCUCGUAGGCGGUGUGUCGCGUCGGCCGUGAAAACCUGCAGCUUAACUGUGGGCGUGCGGUCGAUACGGGCAUCACUGGAGUUCGGCAGGGGAGACUGGAAUUCCUGGUGUAGCGGUGAAAUGCGCAGAUAUCAGGAGGAACACCGGUGGCGAAGGCGGGUCUCUGGGCCGAUACUGACGCUGGAGGAGCGAAAAGCGUGGGGGAGCGAAACAGG